Xiphophorus hellerii (green swordtail) is the source of this 594-nucleotide long non-coding RNA. RefSeq lists it as uncharacterized. NCBI's taxonomy places the organism in Eukaryota, Metazoa, Chordata, Actinopteri, Cyprinodontiformes, Poeciliidae. The record is from RefSeq and is a predicted model, not a curated record. The transcript is spliced from 2 exons.
CGCGGAUCUUCAACUGCAGACACAACUUGGUGGGGAAUGUGUCCGGGUAGCGCGCCUGGAAGGAAGCCGUGGCCUGAGCUGCAGAGACGAGACAGAGAAGAGGAGGACAAUGACAGAGACUGGAUCUACCUGAAGGAAAGAAGCCGUGUUCUUGAAAAAGCUGCAUGACCAGCGCGCGACGUUGGUCCAGUGUCCUCCGCAGAGACGAGUACGGAACCCUGUCCGGGUCUCCCAGGGGGACGUCGCCUUCCGGACCUGCUGGAACAAAAAGCAACCUCACAAAACGGUUCAUACAUCAUCUCACUGCAAAAAGAUAAAAUACAAUCUUACUAAGUAUUACCAAGCUCAUUCAUAACAUAUUUAAGAAACAAAGCAGUUCAAAGUGGUUUACAGCAUAAAAACAUAACACAGUCACCAGUUAUGAAACAAGUAAAAGACAUUUCCAAAAACCAUCAUCAAUUUAAAUACAUAUAAUAGAAGUCUGACUUUGUAACUGUCUUUAUGUCUCUUAAGGUUCCACUGCAAAAAUAAAAAAAUGUACCAAUAGUUUCUGUCUAGUUUCCAUAUUGCAAAUAUGUUGGUACACUUGGAAUA